GGGGUGAGUAACACGUGGAUAACCUACCUAUAAGACUGGGAUAACUUCGGGAAACCGGAGCUAAUACCGGAUAAUAUUUUGAACCGCAUGGUUCAAAAGUGAAAGACGGUCUUGCUGUCACUUAUAGAUGGAUCCGCGCUGCAUUAGCUAGUUGGUAAGGUAACGGCUUACCAAGGCAACGAUGCAUAGCCGACCUGAGAGGGUGAUCGGCCACACUGGAACUGAGACACGGUCCAG
This 237-nucleotide ribosomal RNA is filed under the name uncultured Staphylococcus sp. RNAcentral describes it as "partial 16S ribosomal RNA". It matches the Rfam family "Bacterial small subunit ribosomal RNA", at positions 104 to 334 of the family's 1533-position model. The record is from RNAcentral. Lineage: Bacteria; Bacillati; Bacillota; Bacilli; Caryophanales; Staphylococcaceae.